This 222-nucleotide unclassified non-coding RNA is filed under the name uncultured fungus. Its description in RNAcentral is "sequence contains ITS1, 5.8S rRNA gene". The stretch from base 174 to 222 matches the Rfam family "5.8S ribosomal RNA", at positions 1 to 49 of the family's 154-position model. Lineage: Eukaryota; Fungi. The record is from RNAcentral.
UUUCCGUAGGUGAACCUGCGGAAGGAUCAUUACAUUCAGUAGCCUAGCUACUUGUUUAUACCCUUGUUUUUUUGCGUACCUAUUGUUUCCUCGGUGGGCUUGCCCACCGGCUGGACAAAAUUUAUAACCUUUUUAAAUCUUCAAUCAGCGUCUGAAUUAUACAUAAUAAUUACAACUUUCAACAACGGAUCUCUUGGUUCUGGCAUCGAUGAAGAACGCAGC